RNAcentral lists this long non-coding RNA (448 nucleotides) under Phascolarctos cinereus (koala). RNAcentral's name for it is "lncRNA (ENSPCIG00000007486.2)". Lineage: Eukaryota; Metazoa; Chordata; Mammalia; Diprotodontia; Phascolarctidae. The record is from RNAcentral.
CCUUCGCCUUGGUGGGGGGGUGAGGGGCGGAAGGGAAAAAAUACUGGGGAUAGCAGGGGCUCGUUGCUCAUGGAAACUAGCUUAGGUUCUCUCUUCUGGGGACCGGGAGCUUGGGAUGAAUGUGUUAGCAACAUUCUGGGCUUAACUCAGGCAAGCCCCUUUUCUAGGGCUCUCCAUGGAGCAGAAGCCCGAUCAGAUUUGUGGGGGAGGAAACCACCCUCUGCGAAACCUCUGGGGCUGAGUGUUUUUCCUCGUUAUGAAGUACUCAGAGCGGCUGAGCGUGUCAGAUCUGGAGAAUGUGAUUAUACAAGAGAGAGAUUUUUCAGAAAGGAAAAAAAAAGCAACCCAUCAGAAAUCCUAAUAUUGCUACAUGAGUUUAAAUAAAAAAGUUAGAGAUCAAAACACGAGUGGGCUGCAAGCUUGAAAACUUCUCCACCAAACAGCAGCA